This 1619-nucleotide long non-coding RNA is filed under the name Pongo abelii (Sumatran orangutan). RNAcentral's name for it is "lncRNA (ENSPPYG00000032784.1)". The record is from RNAcentral. Lineage: Eukaryota; Metazoa; Chordata; Mammalia; Primates; Hominidae.
CUGAAGUCCCCCAGCAAAAAAGGGUAAAAGGGGAACUAGGCUGGAACUUUGUUAGGAUUUACAAAGAGAACAGCAUGACCACUCCAGAAGGGUUUAAAAAUGCUUCACCACUAACUCCACCAAACCCUCCUGCUGUAAACAGCUCUAAUGCUAGUGACUACCCUCAGACACUUGCUGUCUAUCCCUUUAGGGUGUUCUUAAAAUAAACCGGAAAGAACGGAGGUAAAAAUACUGGAGUGUUUCCUCCACACUGGAAAGGAGAGGUGAGUCAUAUCAUUGUGAUUGGUGUUUUAAGUAUAUUUUUAUUGUUAUUUUAAAUGGCAUUCAAGUUUAGCUUCAAGUUCAACAGCAGUCUUAGCCUACUUCCUCCCACACAAAUACUCCUGCCAGUAAAUAGGCACUCUUAAAUAAAACAGUGCCUGCAAGAACCUUCUGACCCAUUGAAGUUAGUCUUGCCCUGUCUUCAGAGGUGUAUUCGUCCCUCUCUGGGUGUAGAGCGGUAUUUAAGGGUGACACUUGGGCACGCAGGAGGUGUGGCAGGGGGCGGGGAAUGCAGGGUCACUGUGGCUCAGGGGCGGGUGUGGGUGCAGGCGCGUUGGGAGGACUCUGGGCGCCCUAGGAAGUCCGAGGGCAGGCGGCAGGGCUGGCGGCCGGCAGUGCUGGCUCCCCACGUGAGGUGGUGACGGCGGGCCCUGCUCCCAGGCCCUGUGCUGCCGACCGCUGUCCUGGCUGCGCAGCUCCCCAGCAGGCGCCGGGCUCAGGUCGCGCCUUCAGUUAGCGCUCAGCCUGCGCGCCUGCGUCUCCUCCGCUUGCGGUUUCUGGUCGGAUCCCAGCUGGCCCAGACUUGCUCUGAAGUAGGAGGAACCGCUGUCGAGCGAAAAGUGCACACCGGGUGAUUGAUGAACUCUUAAUAGAACUAACCUCUCCCGCCCCCCACCAUAGACACACACAGAGAAAUCCUCCACCCCAGCCCCUUCUCCAGUCCUCCUCGCGGGCGAGAGGGGACGCGGCCGCCAGCCGGUAGGGUGAUUAACUCACCGUCUGUCUUUGCAAAAGUGUUCCAGGUGGAUCAUGAGCACCCGCCCACCCCGCCCGCAGCCUGGCAGCUCGAGGAGGCGCGGAGAGCGCGCAGCGAGCGCGCGCGUCACGUGGCGGCGCGGACGUUUGUGCCGCGCGCCCACCAGACCGCCCAGGAGGCGGCGGCUAUUGUUCCCGCCGGGGCCCGGGGCGCCCUGAAAUGGGGUCCACGCCAGCCCCCUCCCGAGCGUGUCCUCAGGUCUAAGGACGGGUGGGGCUUCUUUUGUGUGUUCUCUGGAAGGGCCUGGGAUGGCGUCGUUGCUGCCCCAAGGGGUAACCGAGGCGGGAUGAGGGAAGAUGGUACCAGCUCCCUAGAGCUCAGCUCACCAGACCUACUCUUCCGCCCGGCCCUUGCAGAGGAGGUGGGGAGGGGUAUGGUAUUUGUAGGGCAGCGCUGUGAACAAUGGAACCAUCAAAAAGGCCUUCUCCCAGCCGCCUCACCAACCACGGACAUUCCUGGCCCAACAAGCCCUCCUGGCCUGGUUUUGAGCCCUGCUUCCCAGAUCUGGGGACCCUUCACCUGCCUCUACUACUGCAAAUGA